GGAUUGGGAGGGCAAUCUGGUUGUGACAUCUGUCACCCCAUUGAUCGCCAGGGUUGAUUCAGCUGAUAUGACUGGCUAGGCAGUGUCCCCUUCCUCCCUCAGCACUCCACGCAUGUCCCUCCCAAAGCUGCAUGCUCAGUCAAUGAGGACGACCAUCGCCAAUAGAGGAGGACUGGUCUUCGGGCAAGGGUAUACACGUGGCCACGCUCCCCUGCUAGAACCUCCAAACGAGCUUUCAAGUUUCCUGAGUCUACUUAAUUUUGGAAUCAAAGGCUUUCUUUGUGGUUUUGUCACUUAGGCUUGAGAAAGCUUGUGUUCCACACUU
Molecule: unclassified non-coding RNA, 325 nt
Organism: Bison bison bison
Lineage: Eukaryota; Metazoa; Chordata; Mammalia; Artiodactyla; Bovidae
Gene: 7SK
Rfam family: 7SK RNA
About the family: 7SK was discovered as an abundant small nuclear RNA in the mid-70s but a possible function has only recently been suggested.
Source: Ensembl